AUUGAACGCUGGCGGCAUGCUUUACACAUGCAAGUCGGACGAGUGGCGAACGGGUGAGUAACAUAUCGGAACGUACCGAGUAAUGGGGGAUAACUAAUCGAAAGAUUAGCUAAUACCGCAUAUUAUUCGAGCGGCCGAUAUCUGAUUAGCUGGUUGGUGGGGUAAAGGCCUACCAAGGCGACGAUCAGUAGCGGGUCUGAGAGGAUGAUCCGCAAAACUGGGACUGAGACACGGCCCAGACUCCUACGGGAGGCAGCAGUGGGGAAUUUUGGACAAUGGGCGCAAGCCUGAUCCAGCCAUGCCGCGGGUCUGAAGAAGGCCUUCGGGUUGUAAAGGACUUUAAGCGAGGAGGCGUUACUCGCAGAAUAAGCACCGGCUAACUCUGUGCCAGCAGCCGCGGUAAUUC
RNAcentral lists this ribosomal RNA (406 nucleotides) under uncultured bacterium. Its description in RNAcentral is "partial 16S ribosomal RNA". It matches the Rfam family "Bacterial small subunit ribosomal RNA", at positions 30 to 526 of the family's 1533-position model. The record is from RNAcentral.